RNAcentral lists this ribosomal RNA (229 nucleotides) under uncultured bacterium. RNAcentral describes it as "partial 16S ribosomal RNA". It matches the Rfam family "Bacterial small subunit ribosomal RNA", at positions 568 to 796 of the family's 1533-position model. The record is from RNAcentral.
CGCGUAGGCGGUCUUGUCGGUCAGAUGUGAAAGCCCAGGGCUCAACCCUGGACGUGCAUUUGAAACAGCAAGACUUGAGUACGGGAGAGGAAAGCGGAAUUCCUGGUGUAGAGGUGAAAUUCAUCGAUAUCAGGAGGAACACCGAUGGCGAAGGCAGCUUUCUGGACCGAUACUGACGCUGAGGCGCGAAGGCGUGGGUAGCGAACAGGAUUAGAUACCCUGGUAGUCC